This is a non-coding RNA of Otolemur garnettii (small-eared galago), 295 nucleotides long. The record is from Rfam. NCBI's taxonomy places the organism in Eukaryota, Metazoa, Chordata, Mammalia, Primates, Galagidae.
AUACCCUGUAGUGAGGGUCUGUAGUCCCAGCUACUCAGGAUGCUGAGGCAGAAGGAUCGCUUGCAUCUCAGAGUUCUGGACUAUCAUGCACUAUGCUAAUCAGGUGUUCACACUAAGUUUGACAUGGUAACCUCUCAAGAACUGGGAACCAUUAGGUUACCUAAGGAGAAGUUAACUGGCCCAGAUCAGAAAUGGGGCAGAUCAAAACACCCAUGGUGAUCAGUAGUGGGAUUAUACCUAUGAAUAGCUAGCUACUGCACUCCAGCCUAGACAACAUAGUAAGACCUCAUCUCCU